RNAcentral lists this ribosomal RNA (164 nucleotides) under uncultured bacterium. Its description in RNAcentral is "partial 16S rRNA". It matches the Rfam family "Bacterial small subunit ribosomal RNA", at positions 355 to 511 of the family's 1533-position model. The record is from RNAcentral.
UAGGGAAUCUUCCACAAUGGACGAAAGUCUGAUGGAGCAACGCCGCGUGAGUGAAGAAGGGUUUCGGCUCGUAAAACUCUGUUGUUAAAGAAGAACAUAUCUGAGAGUAACUGUUCAGGUAUUGACGGUAUUUAACCAGAAAGCCACGGCUAACUGCGUGCCAG